Molecule: non-coding RNA, 208 nt
Filed under: Coprobacillus sp.
Lineage: Bacteria; Bacillati; Bacillota; Erysipelotrichia; Erysipelotrichales; Coprobacillaceae
Description: T-box sequence
Rfam family: T-box leader
About the family: Uncharged tRNA acts as the effector for transcription antitermination of genes in the T-box leader family. T-boxes are found upstream of many aminoacyl-tRNA synthetase genes and some amino acid biosynthetic genes usually in Gram-positive bacteria.
Source: RNAcentral
AGAACUGCAAUGAUUUGGAGGAGUAGUUCUUCUUUGUUUGAUAGAGAGUCCCGUUUGCUGGAAAGGGAUAAAUGAAAAGAGUGAAGGUAGCCAAGGAGCAUGUUAGAUGAAAUAAAGUAGUUUAACACGUAGAACUGCGUUAAAGUUUUAAGGUGCUAAGUUUUAUACUUAGAACUAAGGUGGUAUCGCGAUAUAAGUCGUCCUUAGA